AGACCGAUGGCAGAAAAUAUGCGUUAAGUUGUAAAUUUAAUAAUGGUUUGUGUAAGACCUCGGUUUA
This 67-nucleotide transfer RNA is filed under the name Polycarpa mytiligera. RNAcentral describes it as "transfer RNA-Tyr". Lineage: Eukaryota; Metazoa; Chordata; Ascidiacea; Stolidobranchia; Styelidae. The record is from RNAcentral.